RNAcentral lists this small nuclear RNA (103 nucleotides) under Carlito syrichta (Philippine tarsier). Lineage: Eukaryota; Metazoa; Chordata; Mammalia; Primates; Tarsiidae. The record is from RNAcentral.
AUGCUCAUUUCAUGAGCACAUACACUAAAGUUGGAAUAAUAGAUGAUCAGCAUGGCCCCUGCACAAAGAUGGCAUGCAAGUUAGUGAAUCUUUGCAUAUUUUC